RNAcentral lists this ribosomal RNA (364 nucleotides) under uncultured soil bacterium. RNAcentral describes it as "bacterial SSU rRNA". It matches the Rfam family "Bacterial small subunit ribosomal RNA", at positions 26 to 383 of the family's 1533-position model. The record is from RNAcentral.
AGAUUGAACGCUGGCGGCAGGCCUAACACAUGCAAGUCGAGCGGUAGAGAGGUGCUUGCACCUCUUGAGAGCGGCGGACGGGUGAGUAAUGCCUAGGAAUCUGCCUAGUGGUGGGGGAUAACGUUCGGAAACGGACGCUAAUACCGCAUACGUCCUACGGGAGAAAGCGGGGGACCUUCGGGCCUCGCGCCAUUAGAUGAGCCUAGGUCGGAUUAGCUAGUUGGUGAGGUAAUGGCUCACCAAGGCGACGAUCCGUAACUGGUCUGAGAGGAUGAUCAGUCACACUGGAACUGAGACACGGUCCAGACUCCGUACGGGAGGCAGCGAGGUGGGGGAAUAGUUGGGAACAAGUGGGACGAAAGCC